Non-coding RNA from Acanthosepion pharaonis, 104 nucleotides. The record is from the annotation of a GenBank genome assembly. NCBI's taxonomy places the organism in Eukaryota, Metazoa, Mollusca, Cephalopoda, Sepiida, Sepiidae.
UUACGGCUAUAUCACGCUGAAAAAAACGGUUCCCAUACGAUCACUGAAGUUAAGCAAUGUCGAGCCUGGUCAGUAACUAGAUAGGUGACCGCUUGGAAAUACCA